UUCCCUCCCCGCCUCCGCACCUCUGCGCGCUCGGGCUCUGGAGCUGACAUGGGCGCCGCCGCGUGGGCAUCGCCGCCCCUGGCGCUGCGUGUGUCUCUCCUGCUGCUACUUCUGCCGCUCCCGGGGCUGCCUGCGGGCUCCUGGGACCCGGCCGGUUACCUGCUCUACUGCCCAUGCAUGGGGCGCUUUGGGAACCAGGCUGAUCACUUCUUGGGCUCCCUGGCAUUUGCAAAGCUGUUGAACCGCACCCUGGCUGUACCCCCUUGGAUUGAGUACCAGCAUCACAAGCCUCCCUUCACCAAUCUCCAUGUGUCCUACCAGAAGUACUUCAAGCUGGAGCCCCUCCAGGCUUACCAUCGGGUCAUCAGCCUGGAGGACUUCAUGGAGAAGCUGGCACCCACCCACUGGCCCCCUGAAAAGCGGGUGGCAUACUGCUUUGAAGUGGCAGCUCAGCGAAGCCCUGAUAAAAAGACGUGCCCCAUGAAGGAAGGAAACCCCUUUGGCCCAUUUUGGGAUCAGUUCCAUGUAAGUUUCAACAAAUCGGAGCUUUUUGCAGGCAUUUCCUUCAGCGCCUCCUACAAAGACCAGUGGAUCCAGAGAUUUUCUCCCAAGGAACAUCCAGUGCUGGCCCUGCCAGGGGCCCCGGCCCAGUUCCCCAUCCUGGAGGAGCAUAGGCCACUGCAGAAGUACAUGGUAUGGUCAGACGAGAUGGUGCAGACGGGGGAGGCUCAGAUCCGCGCCCACCUCAUCCGGCCCUACGUGGGCGUUCACCUGCGCAUUGGCUCAGACUGGAAGAAUGCCUGUGCCAUGCUGAAGGACGGCACUGCUGGCUCCCACUUUAUGGCUUCUCCUCAGUGUGUGGGCUACAGCCGCAGCUCCGCGGCCCCCCUCACCAUGACGAUGUGCCUCCCUGACCUGAAGGAAAUCAAGCGGGCCCUGAAGCUUUGGGUGACGGCGCUCAACGCCCAGUCGGUCUAUAUCGCUACGGAUUCAGAGAGUUACGUGCUUGAGAUCCAACAGCUCUUCAAAGGGAAGGUGAAGGUGGUGAGCCUGAAGCCUGAGGUGGCCCAGGUCGACCUGUACGUCCUCGGCCAAGCCGACCACUUUAUUGGCAACUGCGUCUCCUCCUUCACCGCCUUCGUGAAGCGGGAACGAGACCUCCAGGGGAGGCUGUCCUCUUUCUUUGGCAUGGACAGGCCCCCACAGCUACGGGACGAGUUCUGAUCCUGGCUGCAGCGCAUCACCAGUCUGAGCUGGUCACUGCAGCCAGGCCUGGCAGCCAGAGCUGCUCUCAGGAUUGAUCCCCAAAGGAGCCAACUCCUCUUCACCUGCCAAAGACAGAGAGAAGUACCAGGGACUUCCUACAGGAGGAAGACAUUCCCUCUCCCGGGCACAGGACGUCCACGUUCCUAGGAGCCAGACCAUCUACGCUCCUCGUGUGAUUCCGGCUGUUUCUCCUGGGAAUUUCUAAUACCAGCAAAACAGCCCAACCUCUGUCUUUUGGGCUGCCCUGCUCUGAGCAGCCUGCAAUGCGGAACUCUCUUCAGAGAGAUUUUUUAUAUACCUAUAUAUAGAGAAAGAUUUUUAUAGUUUUGAUACAAGGUCAUGACUACCCUAGAACUCUCCCUCGUUUAAAAAAAAAUCAGCGAAGUUCAUUAACGUAGGUACCUAAAGUGACCUUAAUUGAAUGUAGAUGAGGCCAGGGAUGGGGUGGGCGUAUUCACCACUUUUCCAUAUGACCUCCAAAGUGGCCCUCAGACUCAUCCCCACUGCCUGGCCAGAGCCACUGUCACCCCGCUUCCUGGGCCAUUUCCAGGUUCGGGGCAUGAGCACUGUCCUCCACUGUAAACACUAUGCAAAUAUAAGUUCUCAGUCAAGGUGCCCUGUAACGCUCUGCAGACAGCGGAGUGCUGCUCAAAGCACAGUCCCAGCAAGGAGCACAGGUCAUCAAGCCUGACCGUCAUGGCAUUGCUCUCAGUCAGAGACUCUUGGCAGUUGGUGGCCUGCCACAAAUGUGGCACCAUCAGGGUUUCCUAACGCAUCACCAGGGGCCAGGGCUUACUGGCCUGGUGGGAUCCUUCUGAGGGCUUUCUCCUUUUUGAUCUCUUGCCUCAGGGGCCUGGUUGUAGAAUUUUGUCAUUGAGUUAGUAUCUAUGGCCUGUUCUCCCAGUCUUUCUCCUACAGCUGGAGCCCUCAGACCAUAUUCUCUUGCAGUGUAUGCUAAGCCUCUGACCAGACAGAAGAUACUCCAGAUCCAGCAGCCAUCAGUCCCAGUUAGGAAACAGCCUUUGUUCGUUCCUAUCCAGUGUAAUCUCUCUGUCAACCCCAUAAGGCUUACAGUGUUACGUUGUCUCUCAGAUGCUGCAGUCGUAAUAAUCCAUAACUCCCGAGAGUGAUUUUUUGGCCUUAUGGUUCUAAAAUUUAGGUUUUAGCACCUGCUGAUCUCUUGCCAUCAUGUGACCCCUCUCGGUCUUCUGUCCCGGAAAGGUGGGGGAGACUGACGAGAGCCAGGCACGCAGCUCCAGGCCAGGGCUUCUCCUUUCUGUGUCAGGGCAGACUGAGUCAGAGAUUACAGGGCAGCAAGGGUCUCAAAGACUAAAGGUGACAUUUGCUGCUCUGAGUUACUGCCCAACUCUCAAGUGGGAGAAACUACAGAAAGGGCUUUUGUAUUUCUCCUCUCGGGAAAACAGUGAGAUGUUUUAAAUCCUAGGUGGAUUCUGAGAGACAAUUUGUCUGUUCAGACUUGUUCAUGAGCCUCAUUCAGAGACAUGGAGCCCCUGCGUCCCUGCCUCUCUAUUGGCUGGUUGGGGAAGCGUGGCUCACUGGCUGAUUUCACUUUCUGUUCACAGACUAGCACUAGGUACUAGAGUCUGGCCUCUAAAGGACCAUCCAAACUGUCUUGAUUAGCUUUACCAGUGAUAACAGCUUGUGUUUCUAGAGGAGAGGGUGUUGAGAGCUGCAAUCAGACUUAGUAUGUUCUAUAGGCCGGCACUUUUGACCCAGUUUUCCCACCAAUAAAAUGGUGAUAAAACUGCCAGGAUUGUUGAAAGGCUCAAAUUGGAUACAACAUGUACAAGAUCUCAUUGUAAACUUGAAAGAGACAAAGGCACAUCUGUAGCUGUUGAUUAAUUGGACUGCCUCUUGCCACACACCUACUCUGUGCCAGGCACUGUGCUUGUUAAGUGAUUUAUGGGCAUUCUCUGGUUGAGACCCCACCCCAGCCCUGAGAUAUUGAAACUUAUUAUCUACUUUCUGCAUAAGGAAAAUUUAAUGCUCAGGAAAUUCUUAUAAUUGUUCCAAGGCCGCACAGCUGGUGGCAGCAAGUCAGAAUCUGACCUCCCAAAGCCAGUCCUGGCAGCUGCCAUGCCCUGCUGCACCCAGGUCACAGGAUGCACUUUUCACCCAUUGGGCUUCUGCUGCGGGUCUUCCCCUGCCAGAGGGUUUGGGGAGGAGGAGAUCACUUGAAAAACAAAACAGUUGUCUUGGGUGGCUUUUAGUUCAACAUCCUUUCAAGCAACAGGUAUUUAUUGUGCUAGGUACUAGGGAUUCAGCAGAGAAUCAGACGUAAAGUCUUUGUUCUCAAGGAAUUUGCAUUCUAGUAAGUAGAAGACACAAUAAUCAAAUGUACCGUGGGAGGUGUGAAGUGCUACUAAGGAAAAUAAAGGGCAUGGGGGUUGCAGAGGGGGAACAGAGUUGUUUUAGAUAGGAAGCUUGGGUAAGGCCUCUCUGAAGAGGAGGGAGGGGCGCGCAUUCAGAUAUCUGGAGGCUGCACCUUGCCAGCAGAGGAAGCUGUAAGUGCAAAGGCCCUGACGCCGGAGUAAGUGAGAGGAAUAGCAAGAAGGCCAUCACGGCUGCAGUAGCAGAAGCUGGCAGGGAACAGCCGUAGAUCAGCAAGAGAGGUGACUCGUCCCACAGCCUGGAGGGCAGUGAUAAGGUCGGGACUCGGCUUUUAUUUGGAGAGAGAUGGAAAGCCUUGGUGUGGUCUGAACAGAGGAAGGUCGUGGUCUGAUUUAUGUUUUAGAAGGACCUCUUUGGCUGCCACGAGAAGAGAUGGGAAGGAAGGAGGGUGGAAGCAGACCAGCGCGAGGCUGCUGUGGGAUGCAGGCCCUGAAGACCCUCAGAACAAGACCCAUGGGGCAGUCAGGAUGGGACGGCAAGUAUUGAAGUUCCUGUUUUCCUCCAGCUAGAAGAGAGCUUCCCCUAGAACAAGGACCAUGCCUGAUGUAUCUCCCUCUUCCAGCCCCUAACCCAAUGCUUCGCUUAUAAGUGUGUCCAUUGUAUAUGGGUUGAAUGAAUGCAUGUGCAGAGAAAGUGGUCUGGAAAGGUGAGAUGACGUCUGACAUCGUGGAACUUUCAUGGAGGAGGUUGGAGUUGAGUUGAAUGAUGGGAACAAUUUCAACAGGUACUCAUGGGGAUGAAGAAAAGGAAUUCUGGACGGAGGAAACCACAUGAGCAAAGGCGCCAAUUGGGGACCAUCAUUGGUCUAGUGCAGCUGGAUUGGGGGAAGAAUUUGGAGAGCUCGUUGGGGUCAGAACAUGACAGGAGCCGGUGCUUUGGAUGCCAGAGCGUUUGUAUUCCCAGGAGCCGUAGGGAGCCAGUGAAGACUAUGAUUCAAGGCAAGUGACAUAGUCAGAACUGGGUGGGAGGGCCCUUCACGGGACUGAGUUUAAAUGAUUGAGGGGAAAGGCUGUAUGAUGAAAACCAGAAAGAUAAGUUUGUGGGGAGCAUUAGUCAGUGCUAUGCAUGGGUCUGGGGAGAUGGAGAUCAGAGAUGAGGCAGCAGAGGAAGGUUUGAGUAGCAUGUAAAGGACUGGAAUGCCAAACUAAGAGUCUGGCCCUUUCCCUUGGAGGGAACAGAAAAGGGUUUUAAACCGAGGCUGCUUGAUCAGAUCUUACUCAGAGCUGUCUCUGGGUCAAAGGCAAGC
This is an RNA transcript of Rhinolophus ferrumequinum (greater horseshoe bat), 4924 nucleotides long. It is a transcript of the gene named protein O-fucosyltransferase 1, with no coding region annotated. The transcript is spliced from 9 exons. The record is from RefSeq and is a predicted model, not a curated record. NCBI's taxonomy places the organism in Eukaryota, Metazoa, Chordata, Mammalia, Chiroptera, Rhinolophidae.